Molecule: long non-coding RNA, 726 nt
Organism: Sitodiplosis mosellana (orange wheat blossom midge)
Lineage: Eukaryota; Metazoa; Arthropoda; Insecta; Diptera; Cecidomyiidae
Exons: 6
Source: RefSeq, a predicted model, not a curated record
GGAUGUCGUUCGUAGUUAGAGCAACCGCCAUUGGAAAAAUGUAACAACGAACACUGAGCAUGUUCACAAACUCAAAUUGUUGAGUUCUUUUGGUUUCGAACGUCGAUGGGAACAGUUCGUUCUCUCCUCCAAAUCAAUUUUCACGGAAUAUAUUUCCAUGAAAUGUGUGUUUACUCCAACUAUAUCAGAAAAAGAAGCAUGGUUAAGUGAACGAAGUCGUGCGACAUAACCUCAAUGUGAGGUUAAAAUGUGAUCAAAAUGGGAAACACGUGUGAAAUGCAAUGAGCUACAGACGUAUAGCUGCAGACGCAUCCAUUUGGGAAGUAGGUACAUAAAAAGCGAUUUAUUUUCUUCAAGUUUCAUUUUUAAUGAUGAUUUUAUAUAAGAGACAAAGCAUAUACCUGAACAAAUAUUUGCGGCCAAAAUCACACCUUUCCGACGGCGGUAUCAGCUGCAGUAUUUCAUGCAUGCAUCUUGGAUCCAUCAUGUGUAAGACAAACGCUUCCGAUAACGGAAUUUAGGAGUGAAGAAAAGAAAAUGAAGAAAAAUAUGCAAUUGGCACCGAUCAUCAGCUGAAUCAAAAGAUUCAUUUUGUUGGGAAAUUGCACCUGUGGUUUACUGCCAGUUGAUGGUCCUUGCUCACCCAAAAAAAAAAAUAAAUCCGCAAAAAAUGCAUACAAAGCAAAUUCAUUUAAUAAAACAAUAAUAUUUUACUUACAAUAAAAA